Long non-coding RNA from Papaver somniferum (opium poppy), 1093 nucleotides. RefSeq lists it as uncharacterized. The record is from RefSeq and is a predicted model, not a curated record. NCBI's taxonomy places the organism in Eukaryota, Viridiplantae, Streptophyta, Magnoliopsida, Ranunculales, Papaveraceae. The transcript is spliced from 6 exons.
ACCACCAUCUUCUUCGAUGUAGAGAAGAUGACGGGUGAAGUUGAAAUCAUCGUUUCUAAUCUAAUUCAACUUAAAAAUGAAAACGGACAUCAAGAUUUGACAGAAGCUCUUUUGUGAAACCUUAGGAGACUUGGCAAAGAGAUUAAGCAUUUUUGUAACCCUAAAAUUCUCCAUCGGUAAAGAAGAACAAGAAGGGAGACCUAUUGCUCCUCCAUCAGCCACUAGAGGUUGUUGGAGGUGAUGUUACUGCUCCGCCCCAUACACCUGCAAAGAGGGAUUUCAACUUGGCGAAACAUCCAGAUAUUGAUAGGCUUAUCUUAAAUAUAGCAGUGAUUAAGCUUAUGCAAAGCUUUAAAUCAAGCCAAUAAGUUCGUGGAACAUUUUCUUGGACACAUUCCUAUUGGAUUUUGGAAUGAUGAUGGUUAUGCGAGGGUGGUAAGCCUACUGGAUCGAAUUCAGUCCAAGUUGUUGGAGAAACCGCGAAAUGAGAACUAGAUUGGAGUUUGGGGAAAAUUUUGGAUGUUGGUAAUAGUAUGUAUCGAGAAUUGCUGAUAAAGCUUCCAGAGAAGAAACCACAGUGCAUCGAAAAUCUAGUGAUUUAGUGAGAGACUGGAUUACAAAAGAAGGCCAGUAGCAUCUGAAACUUCUCAAGAGAAGCUACUUACGAUGGGGCCGCAUAUAUAUGUGCCACAGCUGAGCUUACACCUCUUCCAGCAAAUACCGUUCCAUUGUUACUCGCUGAUCGCAGAGGUUAUGGGGGUUUCAACCAACCUGCUAACAACGUGCAACCACUCAAGGAAGGUUCUGGCAAUCUGUUUUUGAUGCGCGAACUGACCCCUGAGAACCUGAGGUACCACCACCUUCAAAAUAUGUCUUACAUGUUGGCAUUAAUUUCAUUUGUUUAGGUUCCUUUGAUUGUCCUCUUAAUUCCCCCUUGAACCUUUAUACGUCAUACUUAGGGGAGACUCGACCAGAGAGUUCGCCAGAAAUAUGGAUGACCAUGGAAUCAAUGUUGCACCUAUGGUUGUUGUUACGGGCGGGUGCAUAUGAGAAAUAUUAUCGGAGUACACACUAUAAUGCUAAUAUCCCUUUA